RNAcentral lists this ribosomal RNA (301 nucleotides) under uncultured bacterium. RNAcentral describes it as "partial 16S ribosomal RNA". It matches the Rfam family "Bacterial small subunit ribosomal RNA", at positions 509 to 807 of the family's 1533-position model. The record is from RNAcentral.
CAGCCGCCGCGGUAAAACGGAGGGUGCAAGCGUUAAUCGGAAUUACUGGGCGUAAAGCGCACGCAGGCGGUCUGACAAGUCAGAUGUAAAAUCCCCGGGCUUAACCUGGGAACUGCAUUUGAAACUGUCAGGCUGGAGUCUUGUAGAGGGGGGUGGAAUUCCAGGUGUAGCGGUGAAAUGCGUAGAGAUCUGGAGGAAUACCGGUGGCGAAGGCGGCCCCCUGGACAAAGACUGACGCUCAGGUGCGAAAGCGUGGGGAGCAAACAGGAUUAGAUACCCCAGUAGUCCCUGUCUCUUAUAC